UACGGAAGGCAGCAGUGGGGAAUAUUGCACAAUGGGCGCAAGCCUGAUGCAGCCAUGCCGCGUGUAUGAAGAAGGCCUUCGGGUUGUAAAGUACUUUCAGUCGUGAGGAAGGUGUUAAGGUUAAUAACCUUAGCAAUUGACGUUAGCGACAGAAGAAGCACCGGCUAACUCCGUGCCAGCAGCCGCGGUAAUACGGAGGGUGUGAGCGUUAAUCGGAAUUACUGGGCGUAAAGGGCACGCAGGCGGUUAAUUAAGUUGGAUGUGAAAUCCCCGGGCUUAACCUGGGAAUGGCAUUCAAGACUGGUUAGCUAGAGUCUUGUAGAGGGGGUAGAAUUCCAUGUGUAGCGGUGAAAUGCGUAGAGAUGUGGAGGAAUACCGGUGGCGAAGGCGGCCCCUGGACAAAGACUGACGCUCAUGUGCGAAAGCGUGGGGAGCAAACAGGGAUUAGAUACC
RNAcentral lists this ribosomal RNA (453 nucleotides) under uncultured bacterium. RNAcentral's name for it is "bacterial SSU rRNA". It matches the Rfam family "Bacterial small subunit ribosomal RNA", at positions 340 to 786 of the family's 1533-position model. The record is from RNAcentral.